This 78-nucleotide transfer RNA is filed under the name Escherichia coli. Its description in RNAcentral is "tRNA-Arg". It matches the Rfam family "tRNA". From Rfam's summary of the family: Transfer RNA (tRNA) molecules are approximately 80 nucleotides in length. Their secondary structure includes four short double-helical elements and three loops (D, anti-codon, and T loops). Lineage: Bacteria; Pseudomonadati; Pseudomonadota; Gammaproteobacteria; Enterobacterales; Enterobacteriaceae. The record is from RNAcentral.
GCGCCCUUAGCUCAGUUAGGAUAGAGCAACGACCUUCUAAGUCGUGGGCCGCAGGUUCGAAUCCUGCAGGGCGCGCCA